RNAcentral lists this long non-coding RNA (1236 nucleotides) under Heterocephalus glaber (naked mole-rat). RNAcentral's name for it is "lncRNA (ENSHGLG00000047474.1)". Lineage: Eukaryota; Metazoa; Chordata; Mammalia; Rodentia; Bathyergidae. The record is from RNAcentral.
CGACAGCGAUAUGGAGCAAGGAAGUGACUGGUCUUAUGGAACCACCUCAAUUUGCCUUUAAGUCAAAGUGGCCUGUGGAAAUCCCAAGGAUGAGUCAAGAAUCUGCUGAGGAGAUAAGCCCCUGGGUAUAGUCAAAGGAAACCAAGUAGAACUCAGGCCUUCUUCAGCAGACAUAUGCAGCUCCUCAGGGACUGAGAAAGCAUCUGGCUAGCUUGGUCUGUACAGUAGCCUCCCUAACCUGGGAUUUUGUGUGUGUCUCUUGUGUGGUGGAAUGUUGUCCCCAGACCAUGGACUGGAUGUGCAGCAAUGCAUAUCAAAGCCAAAAGGUGAUGCCUCAAACAAGACUUACUUCUGUCUGAGUGUGCCCUCAUUGGAUCCUCCAGGACAAUAGAGUGAAGAAGGCAGCAGAGUUUUAACUGACUUUUGCAAAGAUGAAAAUAACUUGUGCAAGGUUGCAUGCCUAGCAAGUAGAGGCUUGGGGGUAGAGUCUAAGUCUUCUGGCUCCUUUUGUGAAUUUUUGUCUGAAAAAGAAGUGGGCUGCUUUGUGAGCUCCACAGAUCCCGAUGGAGACCAAUGACUAUGAAUCAAUCCACUUAAGAAUCUCUGGAGCCCAAAUAUGUCCCGUGAAGAACUCCUGCUGCACUACUGGUUGAAAAAUUGGUUGGUCCAUUUUUCUGGAGUGUAACUUGGACCCAUGUAUUUGAAAAAGAUACCGAUAGGAUUUGACCAAUUAUUUUCACUUUGAGGAGCAUAUCUUAAAGAAAUAAUCAGAAAUGUACACCACUUUAAAAAGUUAAACACAGAGUUACCACAUGACCCAGAAAUCCCACUCCUGAGUGCAUACUCUAGAAAGUGAGAAAUGUGUCCACACUAAAAUAUUGUGAAUGAAUGUUUGUACCUACAUUGUUUAUCAUAGCCAAAAAGCAAAAACAACCUAAUGUUCAUCAUUGGUUAAAUAGAAAUCAAAAUAUACUAUAUCUGUAAGAUGAAAUAGUAUUUGUCAAUAAAAAGGAAUGAAUAUUGACAGAAGAUAGAAUAUGGAUGACCUUUGAAAACAUUAUGCUAAGGAAAAGAAACCAGCCAUACUGUAUGAUUCUGUUUACAUGAAAUAUCCAGAAAAAAUAAAUUUAUGAAGAUAAGAAUAGGUUAGGAUUGCUUAGAUCAGGGGUAGGAAAGUGGUAGUGGUCAGAAAUUGUGAUUAACUGAUAAUAAGCAUGACAUUUAUUUUAGAGGGAA